CCUACGGGGGGCAGCAGUGGGGAAUAUUGCACAAUGGGGGAAACCCUGAUGCAGCGACGCCGCGUGAGUGAAGAAGCGUUUCGGCGCGUAAAGCUCUGUCAGCGGGGAAGAAACACGGUUCGCGAGAGCCGCGGACGGUACCCGACCAAGAAGCACCGGCUAACUACGUGCCAGCAGCCGAGGUAAUACGGAGGGGGCAAGCGUUAUCCGGAUUCACUGGGGGUAAAGGGAGCGUAGACGGCGAGACAAGUCUGGAGUGAAAGGCCGGGGCGUAACCCGGGGACGGCUUUGGAAACUGAGCGGCUGGAGUACAGGAGAGGUAAGGGGAAUUCCUAGUGUAGCGGUGAAAUGCGUAGAUAUUAGGAGGAACACCAGUGGCGAAGGCGGCUUACUGGACUGUAACUGACGUUGAGGCUCGAAAGCGUGGGGAGCAAACAGGAUUAGAUACCCGUGUAGUC
This 458-nucleotide ribosomal RNA is filed under the name uncultured bacterium. Its description in RNAcentral is "partial 16S ribosomal RNA". It matches the Rfam family "Bacterial small subunit ribosomal RNA", at positions 338 to 795 of the family's 1533-position model. The record is from RNAcentral.